AAUGGAGUGUCUGAAAAAGAAUUAUUUUGAUAGAAUAAAGCAUGUAAAUUUAUCUUACCUCCAUUA
RNAcentral lists this transfer RNA (66 nucleotides) under Digitonthophagus gazella. Its description in RNAcentral is "tRNA-Ile". Lineage: Eukaryota; Metazoa; Arthropoda; Insecta; Coleoptera; Scarabaeidae. The record is from RNAcentral.